RNAcentral lists this ribosomal RNA (301 nucleotides) under uncultured bacterium. Its description in RNAcentral is "partial 16S ribosomal RNA". It matches the Rfam family "Bacterial small subunit ribosomal RNA", at positions 509 to 807 of the family's 1533-position model. The record is from RNAcentral.
CAGUCGCCACGGUAAAACGGAGGGUGCAAGCGUUAAUCGGAAUUACUGGGCGUAAAGCGCACGCAGGCGGUCUGUCAAGUCAGAUGUGAAAUCCCCGGGCUUAACCUGGGAACUGCAUUUGAAACUGGCAGGCUAGAGUCUUGUAGAGGGGGGUAGAAUUCCAGGUGUAGCGGUGAAAUGCGUAGAGAUCUGGAGGAAUACCGGUGGCGAAGGCGGCCCCCUGGACAAAGACUGACGCUCAGGUGCGAAAGCGUGGGGAGCAAACAGGAUUAGAUACCCCUGUAGUCCCUGUCUCUUAUAC